Molecule: ribosomal RNA, 433 nt
Filed under: uncultured bacterium
Lineage: Bacteria
Description: partial 16S ribosomal RNA
Rfam family: Bacterial small subunit ribosomal RNA
Source: RNAcentral
AACGAACGCUGGCGGCAUGCCUAACGCAUGCAAGUCGAACGAGACCUUCGGGUCUAGUGGCGCACGGGUGCGUAACGCGUGGGAACCUGCCCUUAGGUUCGGAAUAACUCCCCGAAAGGGGUGCUAAUACCGGAUAAUGUCUUCGGACCAAAGAUUUAUCGCCUUUGGAUGGGCCCGCGUUGGAUUAGCUAGUUGGUAGGGUAAAAGCCUACCAAGGCGACGAUCCAUAGCUGGUCUGAGAGGAUGAUCAGCCACACUGGGACUGAGACACGGCCCAGACUCCUACGGGAGGCAGCAGUGGGGAAUAUUGGACAAUGGGCGAAAGCCUGAUCCAGCAAUGCCGCGUGAGUGAUGAAGGCCUUAGGGUUGUAAAGCUCUUUUACCCGGGAUGAUAAUGACAGUACCGGGAGAAGAAGCUCCGGCUAACUCCGUG